This 253-nucleotide ribosomal RNA is filed under the name uncultured bacterium. RNAcentral describes it as "partial 16S ribosomal RNA". It matches the Rfam family "Bacterial small subunit ribosomal RNA", at positions 524 to 776 of the family's 1533-position model. The record is from RNAcentral.
UACGGGGGGGGCAAGCGUUGUUCGGACUUACUGGGCGUAAAGGGCUUGUAGGUGGCCACCUAAGUCAGACGUGAAAUCCCUCAGCUUAACUGGGGAACUGCGUCUGAUACUGGAUGGCUUGAGUUUGGGAGAGGGAUGCGGAAUUCCAGGUGUAGCGGUGAAAUGCGUAGAUAUCUGGAGGAACACCGGUGGCGAAGGCGGCAUCCUGGACCAACACUGACACUGAGGAGCGAAAGCCAGGGGAGCAAACGGG